AUCCAGCUGACGAGUCCCAAAAAGGACGAAAUGUGCAUCCUGGAU
Molecule: non-coding RNA, 45 nt
Filed under: Trichobilharzia regenti
Lineage: Eukaryota; Metazoa; Platyhelminthes; Trematoda; Strigeidida; Schistosomatidae
Source: RNAcentral